RNAcentral lists this ribosomal RNA (719 nucleotides) under Phaeographopsis palaeotropica. RNAcentral describes it as "SSU rRNA". It matches the Rfam family "Bacterial small subunit ribosomal RNA", at positions 362 to 1112 of the family's 1533-position model. Lineage: Eukaryota; Fungi; Ascomycota; Lecanoromycetes; Ostropales; Graphidaceae. The record is from RNAcentral.
UAUUGGUCAAUAGCCUAACGGCUGAACCAGCAACUUGGAGGAAUGUAUAGGGAAAACUGGUAAAAUGUGAUGUACCUACUAAUAUNNNNNNNNNNUAUGAUAUUAACUAAGUUAAUUAAAAUUCUAAUGGAUAUGUGAUUAUGACAAUAUAUGCUUAUGUCUUGACCAAGUCACGUGCCAGCAGUCGCGGUAAUACGUGGAAGAUUAGUGUUAUUCAUGUUUAACAGGUUUAAAGGGUACCUAGACGGUUGAUUAAGCUUUAAAAGGUACUAAUUAACUAGAGUUUGAUGUAAGAAAGAUUGAGUACGGUGAGUGUAGAGAUAAAAUUCUGUGAUACCACUUAGGAACUGGUAAAGGCGAAGGCAACUUUCUAUGUAAAACUGACGUUAAGGAGCGAAAGCUCGUAUUAAAUAACAGGAUUAGAUACCCUAGUAUUGUGGGCAGACAAUGAUGAGUGUCAUAGACAAGAAAAUNNNNGUGUAUAAAUGAAAGUGUAAGCACUCCACCUCAAGAGUAACGUGGCAACAUGGGAACUGAAAUCAUUAGACCGUUUCUGAAACUCGUAGUGAAGUAUGUUGUUUAAUUAGACAGUACACAAAUAACCUUACCACAAUUUGUAUAACUAUAUAAUAAUAUAGUAACAAGCGUUGCACGGCUGUCUUCAGUUAAUGUUGUGAAACUUUGGUUAGAUCCAUUAAAUUAACGUAAACCCUUACUUU